Molecule: ribosomal RNA, 253 nt
Filed under: uncultured bacterium
Lineage: Bacteria
Description: partial 16S ribosomal RNA
Rfam family: Bacterial small subunit ribosomal RNA
Source: RNAcentral
UACGGGGGGGGCAAGCGUUGUUCGGAAUUACUGGGCGUAAAGGGCUCGUAGGCGGCCAACUAAGUCAGACGUGAAAUCCCUCGGCUUAACCGGGGAACUGCGUCUGAUACUGGAUGGCUUGAGUUUGGGAGAGGGAUGCGGAAUUCCAGGUGUAGCGGUGAAAUGCGUAGAUAUCAGGAGGAAUACCGAUGGCGAAGGCAGGUCUCUGGGCUAUAACUGACGCUCAUGCACGAAAGCGUGGGGAGCAAACAGG